Molecule: long non-coding RNA, 302 nt
Filed under: Homo sapiens (human)
Lineage: Eukaryota; Metazoa; Chordata; Mammalia; Primates; Hominidae
Description: non-protein coding LINC00265:10
Source: RNAcentral
AGUAGCUGGGAUUACAGUUGAAGCAUAUGUCCUGUGAGCUUAGGGGUGCUACAAGUUGACCACUGCAGCAGUAAAGAUGAUUCUGAAGAAUGGCAUGGGAUGGAUCCUUUCGAAUGCACUUGAGCAGCGGUCUCCAACCACAGGGCCACAGAGCUGGAGGUGAGCAGCAGGCAAGUGAAGGGAAACUUCAUCUGUAUUUCUAGCCCCUCCCGUCGCUUGCAUGACCACCUGAGCUCCAUGUCCUGUCAGAUCAGCAGCAGCAUUAGAUUCUCAUAGGAGCACAAACUCUGUUGUGAAGUGUG